Molecule: ribosomal RNA, 301 nt
Filed under: uncultured bacterium
Lineage: Bacteria
Description: partial 16S ribosomal RNA
Rfam family: Bacterial small subunit ribosomal RNA
Source: RNAcentral
CAGCCGCCACGGGAAUACGUAGGUGGCAAGCGUUGUCCGGAAUUAUUGGGCGUAAAGGGCUCGCAGGCGGUUUCUUAAGUCUGAUGUGAAAGCCCCCGGCUCAACCGGGGAGGGUCAUUGGAAACUGGGAAACUUAAGUGCAGAAGAGGAGAGUGGAAUUCCACGUGUAGCGGUGAAAUGCGUAGAGAUGUGGAGGAACACCAGUGGCGAAGGCGACUCUCUGGUCUGUAACUGACGCUGAGGAGCGAAAGCGUGGGGAGCGAACAGGAUUAGAUACCCCCGUAGUCCCUGUCUCUUAUAC